CGGCGUGUAGCGCAGCUUGGUAGCGCAACUGGUUUGGGACCAGUGGGUCGGAGGUUCGAAUCCUCUCUCGCCGACCA
This 77-nucleotide transfer RNA is filed under the name Klebsiella pneumoniae. Its description in RNAcentral is "tRNA-Pro(tgg)". It matches the Rfam family "tRNA". From Rfam's summary of the family: Transfer RNA (tRNA) molecules are approximately 80 nucleotides in length. Their secondary structure includes four short double-helical elements and three loops (D, anti-codon, and T loops). RNAcentral also lists the same sequence under 1 other name. The record is from RNAcentral. Lineage: Bacteria; Pseudomonadati; Pseudomonadota; Gammaproteobacteria; Enterobacterales; Enterobacteriaceae.